RNAcentral lists this ribosomal RNA (253 nucleotides) under uncultured bacterium. RNAcentral's name for it is "partial 16S ribosomal RNA". It matches the Rfam family "Bacterial small subunit ribosomal RNA", at positions 524 to 776 of the family's 1533-position model. The record is from RNAcentral.
UACAGAGGUCUCAAGCGUUGUUCGGAUUCAUUGGGCGGAAAGGGUGCGUAGGCGGCGCGGUAAGUCGGGUGUGAAAUCUCGGAGCUUAACUCCGAAACUGCAUUCGAUACUGCCGUGCUUGAGGACUGGAGAGGAGACUGGAAUUUACGGUGUAGCAGUGAAAUGCGUAGAGAUCGUAAGGAAGACCAGUGGCGAAGGCGGGUCUCUGGACAGUUCCUGACACUGAGGCACGAAGGCCAGGGGAGCAAACGGG